This is a long non-coding RNA of Lagopus leucura (white-tailed ptarmigan), 672 nucleotides long. RefSeq lists it as uncharacterized. The record is from RefSeq and is a predicted model, not a curated record. NCBI's taxonomy places the organism in Eukaryota, Metazoa, Chordata, Aves, Galliformes, Phasianidae. The transcript has 3 exons.
CUUGAAGAGUGUGAAGCUGGCGUGGCAGAGUUAGAGUUUAAUCCCAGACCCAAACAAAGUUCAUGCACAUCAUACAGCAAAUCGCACAAGCAGAGAGAAACUGUGGACAGGAGGACAAUGGAGGUUGUUCGUGGAGUUUUAGAUGAAAACAGUAAAGAGUGGAUGGACAUUUCCAGGGAGAUGGCUGCUAGAAGAACAGUAUCUUCUGGAGGCAAAUGGCAGAGGGCAGUGGAAGAUGUAAUGGAGAAGAAUAAACAACCCACGUACAUUCUAAUCCAAAGACUCGGGGAAAAAUCAAGCAGGAAGGGCAUGGGAUGGUGAAAGAAGCAGCCAUGAAGCUCGUAUCAUGGAUGAGGCCUCUUGCUUAUAUGAGAUGAUAAGUAGAUAGAUAGAUGGAUAGAUAGAUGUUGAAAGACAGAUUUGAUAUCAAUGGAACCUCUCUUUCUAGUUUUUUUUGUUGUUGUUGUUUGUUUAAGAAAAAAAACUUAAAUGUGAUUUAUUUCUCAUUGGAGGCCUCCAGAAGCACCAACCUCUUCCCACUGGCUUUAUAGGAAUAAGCAUCCAAAGACAGCAAUUUGAACCACUUUUGAGAGGGACCUUUCAACCUGAUCUGAUGCCUGAUCUAGCAGCUAGCAACCUUGCCCAUGGCAGUGGGGCUAGAACUAGAUGAUA